Schistosoma rodhaini is the source of this 45-nucleotide non-coding RNA. The record is from Rfam. NCBI's taxonomy places the organism in Eukaryota, Metazoa, Platyhelminthes, Trematoda, Strigeidida, Schistosomatidae.
AUCCAGCUGACGAGUUCAAAAUAGGACGAAACACGAGUUCUAAAU